Carassius gibelio (silver crucian carp) is the source of this 4258-nucleotide RNA transcript. It is a transcript of the gene named chemokine-like protein TAFA-1, with no coding region annotated. The transcript has 5 exons. The record is from RefSeq and is a predicted model, not a curated record. Lineage: Eukaryota; Metazoa; Chordata; Actinopteri; Cypriniformes; Cyprinidae.
UGUGCAGGACCAAAAAGUGAAGAGGCAAAUUAGCUUGUUAUCCCCCAAAGAAGCUUCACCUUCAGAGAGAAGCGUGAGGAGGCUGAGAAACAGGAGGAAGACGUUGCUUCUCUGGUGAUUUAAAGGUGACAUGACGAGCCUCACGUCCCUCAAACCCCAGCUAGUUUCUGACAGCGUUUCACAGCUGUGACGGGAGUUUCUGCUGGCGGGUGCCUGACUGUGUUCGGUGGAUUGCAAACAGGACUUGCUCCAGAAGAGGGGAUAAAGGGCAGGAGCGGGAACAGUCUCCUCAUCCCUCCGCUGACCCGCAGAUCCGAACAGGAACUUUUGCUGGGAAGCUCUUUUCUGAGAGCACGUUUGGAUUUAUGACUAUGUGCUGAGGAUAUUGGAUGAACAAUUGACGGCACGUUUCUCCACACCGUAUCUCACAGCCGGUGCUCCUGCCAUGUCCUGGCUCCUGUGUCUGUGGAUAAGUGUUAGCUGCUUACUCCUGUGCCACGCCACUUUGUACGAGACCAUCCAGCAGCAUCAUGUGACCCACCCGGGCCGCAACGCCAUACAGAUUCUGGAGGGGGGAACGUGUGAGGUCAUCGCAGCACACCGAUGUUGCAACAAAAACCGCAUUGAGGAGCGUUCCCAGACAGUCAAGUGCUCAUGUUUACCGGGAAAAGUGGCCGGCACAACACGGAACAAACCCUCCUGUGUAGACGCCUCUAUCGUGAUUGGGAAGUGGUGGUGUGAGAUGGAGCCGUGUCUGGAGGGAGAGGAGUGUAAGACACUACCAGACAACUCCGGCUGGAUGUGUUCCUCUGGAAACAAGAUCAAGACCACGAGGGUGAGGGCUCGGAACAUGCUGAACAUCACUUCACACACGUACAAACACACACACAUAUACACAUGUAACUCUGGCCCUCACUUACAGAUUUAUUCCUCAUGAUAUGAUGUGGCAGUAGUUUGUGCUCUGACAAACACCACUUCUUCAUUUAGUCCUAAUGCAGCUUUAUAAAGGAUGCGGUGCUGAGUUCAACUUAAGCAAUAAGAAACAAGUCAGACAAAUAUAAACUAAACAUCACAGCUUUGACAGGAAGUACACAUGACACAAACUGAAAACUUGAUGAGCAGAUCAGUAUUCCCAUACGCUGAUUCAGUAGAGAGGUGACAGACAGCGGAUCUGUGAGAGUCAUGUGACAGAUAGUGUUACAGGGGGUUUGGUCCCUCCUUGGCAUCUGCACACGUUUAAACUAUCCCAAGCCCUGCUCAUCCGAUGGUGGCUGGAUGAUUUUCAAGAUUUCCAAGGUAAGACCAUGCAUACAACGAACCAAUGAACCAGAGAAAGCAUCUCUUGAUUUAUUAGUGUAAUAUAAUAUAACUAAAAAGAUUAUUUAUGAAAUAAUGUGCGCACUUGUGUCAAGCUUAAAAGCAAAGUUUAUACAAAAAUUAUUACAAUGUCAUUAUAUAUGCUCAUCAAUUAUAUAUGCACACUUGUGUCGUUCCAAACUAGUAUGUAAUAUAUUAUUAUUAUUAUUAUUAUUAUUAUUAUUAUUAUUAUUAUUAUUAUUAUGCCCUUUCCUUACAACAAUGUCAAGACUAGGAGAUUUCAAGCUUCAAAUAAUAAAAAAUAAAAUAAAAUAAAAACAUCAGAAAAGAACGAUAAUGUGCUAUUAUCUGCUAGAUUUCGGAGGAACAGGUUAUCAGAUCUUAUUUACUGAUUAUUCAUAAUUUAAAACUUAUAUUUAAAUUUAAAGCUCACAUCUUGUCCAAGUUUGCAUUCAUUUUUGUUUAAAUUCAAAAAUUAAAUGUCGUGUUUGGUUACUACACAUACAUACAAGAACCAGUGCUGAUCUGGUGCACCAAUUUGCAAUUUGGAUGUUUGAAGACGAGGGCUUUGGUAGAGAUGACUAAUCCAAGUUGAUGCUUACUAAACAUUCAGUCUUUACCUCACAAAAUCAUAAAUUUUAUAUGAAAAAUAGCAUAAAAGUCUUUGACUACUAUGUUUUUGUUAUCUACAACACUGUCAUUGUUUGGCAAUAAUUGCGAAGCAAUUCUUCAAAGAUUUCUGCUUUUGAGUUCCAUGUUUAAAAAAAAUGGUUUGGGGCGACAUGAGGUUGAGUAAUUGAGAUUUUAAGGUGAAUUAUUCCUUAAGCUCUAAUUGAGAUUAGAUAAAAGAAAAGGACUGUAAUGAAACAACCAUAUUUUAAAGUGAAUGGGAAAUAAAAACUUGCUAUUAUUAACUAUUAAACUUCCUCUUUUUUCCCUUCAUAUCUUCCUUCCCAGAACACCCAGCCAUAUUCAACGUUUUAGCUCUGAGGGCCACCGAAGCUGGCUCGCCUGAAGCUCAGUGGUGUCCUUCUCCUCAUCAAGAUUCAUCCCCGGACCUAACAAAGAGCUCCUUCACAGGCAGUGAAUGUGGAUUAUUUCUGUCAGAAUGGACGAAACCAUUCGUUCGAAGGGGUGUUUGACUGGAUUACCUGUGACUGACAUUCUUGGGGAUAUAGAUGAGAUUUGCUCAUUCAGUGCCAAGGAAUAUGACAAAUAGAAAUAAAGCAGGCUAAUCUGUGUUUUUGAUCAAUGAGCCCAACACUGCAGACUCGACCUUGUCCAAAUUCUCUUGAUUUUCUGCAUUUCUCCUGACCACCGUCCUCUGGUUCUAAACUCCUACAGCUUAUCGGAGCCUAUUUGAAGACGUUACCUCCCUUGGUAAACUGGACAAUCCUGAUAUAAGCUGUGAAUGACUGUAUGAAGGAUCAUGGCGGAUAAGCACUGGUCUGUGAAAAUUAGGUGGAAAUCAAUAGAUUUUUUUUUUCCAUCCCCCAUCAGUUUGUCGUUCCACGUCCACGCUGGCAUUGGUAACAGACUAGGAGCUCGUGAAGUCCUGCUAUUUCCCUUCACUUCUGAGUUUUCUGCUCACCGCUAGUGUCCCACAUGCUGUCCGUUUGGAAUUCCCCCAGGUCAAAGGUCACCUCAAUGUCUACCUGGGCCACAUAUCUUUUCAUUUGUCAGCAUGCUCAAUGUAUUUUGUGGGAGCUUUGUAUUGAAAGUAACUGUAUAUAUUUCUGUAUAUAUAUACAUAUAGAUACAUAUUAAAAGACAUCAUAUGAAGAUCUAUCGUGCCCUAAAACCUGUUCAGUGGGUUUCAACUAAGACUGUAUUCAUAGUUUUGGUUCCUUGAACAUGACGUACAAUUAAUCCCUAAUUUAAGGCUGUCUGUGAAAAUGCAUAUUCUCAUGAUGUAAUGGAAACCCGGCAUAUUUAGCUUGAAUGAGAAUUCGUUCCAUUGUUACAAAGUGAAUCCAUUCUGAAAAAAAAGAGGAAAAUGCACUAAACAGUUGCAACAUUUUUGUCCACAAUAUUUCAACGCAAACCUAUUUUUUUAGUGUUUAAAUAUUCCUGAGCUUUAAGUAUUUAAGUCAUUGCCAUUCAUUUCAAACAAGUUUCCAUGCAAAUUAGGCUUUAGAUUGCGUUUUAUUCACAAAACUGUACUACUACUCUAAUGAUACUACCACUGGUGAAAAUCAGGUGGCAAAUGACAUUUUCUUCUGAUCACAGCAAAAGUAAUUCAACAUGUAAUGAGCAAAUAUUGGCGUAGAGCAGAUGUGUGGAGUAGUCAACUACACUUGGUGCCGUACUGUCCCAUUAAAAUAUGUCAUAAAAUAUGUGCCAUGCACAGAAUUUGCUGGUGCUUUUGUUUUGUUAUCUGAUACGCAUAAUUCUGAAUCAGACACUUCAAUACAGCAAACAAUGUAAUUAUUUGCCUCUGUAGGUGGACCCAACUCAUUCUUAGUAAUUUUGCAGGGAUAUCAGUCUGUCAGCCCAACAAAAAAAGGUAACAAACACCUACUGGAACUCAGAUUACCAUUGAUAUUUACCUAUAGCCAGUUCAGACCAUGAUUAAGUUUGUUCUGUGCUGUUCUGAGAAUAGAUAGGCUUCAUCAUGCUUGUGUAAGUUUCAUGAAUACAAGUCAUUCAAUUUGUUAAAGGUGAUAACCAUGAUAAACAAAUACUGGAUCUGUGUCACUGGACAGAAACCUGACUCAGUUCAGAAAAAUGAAGCCCUAGUUUGAUAGGGUCAGUGUUGUAGGGAAGAGAGGAUCUCAUUUUCAAGAGAUUUGUUUUCUGUGUAAUAAAGUUUCGAAGGGUUGACAAAAAGGUGGGCUUCAUUUCUCUUUACUGGCAUCAGUAGACAUGCAACUACAGUAGCUCUGGUAUAUAAACAUGCAGCCUUAUCAGAAUCAAGUCAAUAUUAAAAUGGUUUUCCAUA